RNAcentral lists this ribosomal RNA (448 nucleotides) under Osedax sp. 2 MG-2023b. RNAcentral's name for it is "partial large subunit ribosomal RNA". It matches the Rfam family "Bacterial large subunit ribosomal RNA", at positions 1953 to 2607 of the family's 2925-position model. Lineage: Eukaryota; Metazoa; Annelida; Polychaeta; Sabellida; Siboglinidae. The record is from RNAcentral.
AAGGUAGCAUAAUCAUUUGCCUCCUAAUUAGAGGCUAGAAUGAAUGGACACACGAAAUCUUAGCUGUCUCAUAAGUUUUAUUAAAAUUUUCUCUCUAAGUGAAGAAUCUUAGAUUAAUUUGAAAGACAAGAAGACCCUAAUGAGCUUUAAUUUUAUUCUAUUAUUUACUAAAGAUUUUAAUCAUUUAUUUAAUAUAAUAAAAUUUUUGUUGGGGCGACAAAAGAAACUCAAUGACUUCUUUACAUAAAUAACGAGUUAUCACUCUAUAAAUUUGACCUAAUUAUAAUUAAUCAAUAGCAAUAGCUACCAUAGGGAUAACAGACUAAUUUUUCUCCAGAGCUCAAAUUUACAGAAAAGAUUGGCACCUCGAUGUUGGCUUAGAGGCCCCUUAUGAUGCAGCAGUCAUAAAAGGUGGGUUUGUUCAACCCUUAAAACUCUACGUGAUCUG